RNAcentral lists this ribosomal RNA (539 nucleotides) under Rhodotorula toruloides. Its description in RNAcentral is "LSU rRNA". It matches the Rfam family "Eukaryotic large subunit ribosomal RNA", at positions 62 to 613 of the family's 3401-position model. Lineage: Eukaryota; Fungi; Basidiomycota; Microbotryomycetes; Sporidiobolales; Sporidiobolaceae. The record is from RNAcentral.
AAACUAACAAGGAUUCCCCUAGUAGCGGCGAGCGAAGCGGGAAGAGCUCAAAUUUGUAAUCUGGCACCUUCGGUGUCCGAGUUGUAAUCUCUAGAAGUGUUUUCCGCGUUGGACCGCACACAAGUCUGUUGGAAUACAGCGGCAUAGUGGUGAUACCCCAUUACACGGUGCGGACGCCCAGCGCUUUGUGAUACACUUUCGACGAGUCGAGUUGUUUGGGAAUGCAGCUCAAAUUGGGUGGUAAAUUCCAUCUAAAGCUAAAUAUUGGCGAGAGACCGAUAGCGAACAAGUACCGUGAGGGAAAGAUGAAAAGCACUUUGGAAAGAGAGUUAAAAGUACGUGAAAUUGUUGGAAGGGAAACGCUUGAAGUCAGACUUGCUUGCCGGGCUUGCUCGGUUUGCAGGCCAGCAUCAGUUUUCCGGGGCGGAUAAUGGCAGUUAGAAGGUAGCAGUCUCGGCUGUGUUAUAGCUUUCUGCUGGAUACGUCCUGGGGGACUGAGGAACGCAGCGUGCCGUAUGGCGAGGGCUUCGGCCCUUCAC